GAUGAACGCUGGCGGCGUGCCUAACACAUGCAAGUCGAGCGAACCCUUCGGGGUGAGCGGCGGACGGGUGAGUAACGCGUGGGUAACCUGCCCUGUACACACGGAUAACAUACCGAAAGGUAUGCUAAUACGGGAUAAUAUAUGAGAGUCGCAUGGCUUUUGUAUCAAAGCUCCGGCGGUACAGGAUGGACCCGCGUCUGAUUAGCUAGUUGGUAAGGUAACGGCUUACCAAGGCAACGAUCAGUAGCCGACCUGAGAGGGUGAUCGGCCACAUUGGAACUGAGACACGGUCCAAACUCCUACGGGAGGCAGCAGUGGGGAAUAUUGCACAAUGGGCGAAAGCCUGAUGCAGCAACGCCGCGUGAGCGAUGAAGGCCUUCGGGUCGUAAAGCUCUGUCCUCAAGGAAGAUAAUGACGGUACUUGAGGAGGAAGCCCCGGCUAACUACGUGCCAGCAGCCGCGGUAAUACGUAGGGGGCUAGCGUUAUCCGGGAAUUACUGGGCGUAAAGGGUGCGUAGGCGGUCUUUCAAGCCAGAAGUGAAAGGCUACGGCUCAACCGUAGUAAGCUUUUGGAACUGUAGGACUUGAGUGCAGGAGAGGAGAGUGGAAUUCCUAGUGUAGCGGUGAAAUGCGUAGAUAUUAGGAGGAACACCAGUAGCGAAGGCGGCUCUCUGGACUGUAACUGACGCUGAGGCACGAAAGCGUGGGGAGCAAACAGGAUUAGAUACCCUGGUAGUCCACGCCGUAAACGAUGAGUACUAGGUGUCGGGGGUUACCCCCCUCGGUGCCGCAGCUAACGCAUUAAGUACUCCGCCUGGGAAGUACGCUCGCAAGAGUGAAACUCAAAGGAAUUGACGGGGACCCGCGCAAGUAGCGGAGCAUGUGGUUUAAUUCGAAGCAACGCGAAGAACCUUACCUAAGCUUGACAUCCCAUUGACCUCUCCCUAAUCGGAGAUUUCCCUUCGGGGACAGUGGUGACAGGUGGUGCAUGGUUGUCGUCAGCUCGUGUCGUGAGAUGUUGGGUUAAGUCCCGCAACGAGCGCAACCCUUGCCUUUAGUUGCCAGCAUUAAGUUGGGCACUCUAGAGGGACUGCCGAGGAUAACUCGGAGGAAGGUGGGGAUGACGUCAAAUCAUCAUGCCCCUUAUGCUUAGGGCUACACACGUGCUACAAUGGGUGGUACAGAGGGUUGCCAAGCCGUGAGGUGGAGCUAAUCCCUUAAAGCCAUUCUCAGUUCGGAUUGUAGGCUGAAACUCGCCUACAUGAAGCUGGAGUUACUAGUAAUCGCAGAUCAGAAUGCUGCGGUGAAUGCGUUCCCGGGUCU
RNAcentral lists this ribosomal RNA (1323 nucleotides) under uncultured bacterium. Its description in RNAcentral is "partial 16S ribosomal RNA". It matches the Rfam family "Bacterial small subunit ribosomal RNA", at positions 28 to 1381 of the family's 1533-position model. The record is from RNAcentral.